RNAcentral lists this long non-coding RNA (3047 nucleotides) under Nicotiana benthamiana. Its description in RNAcentral is "long non-coding RNA (NBEN_LNC032216)". The record is from RNAcentral. Lineage: Eukaryota; Viridiplantae; Streptophyta; Magnoliopsida; Solanales; Solanaceae.
UCACAAAACGUUAUCGUAAAAUAUCAUUAGUUUAAAACGAAAUUAUCAGCAUUAAGUAGCAUCACUCAAAAACUAUUUUAAACACAAUAUUCACUCCAAUAUUCCAACAUCCGAUUAAACCACACAAUUACAUCGUCACAAUUAAUUAUCCAAAGUAAUAGCAAUGAAUCAAUGGUUUCCACUAGAAUUACUAUCACCGCAUAAUCUUCUUGCAUCCAUUGGUGAAAGGGGUCCACUGUCCGCAUCACUUGGCUGCAUAAAAAAACAAAUUUAUAAAAAUCAUGCUAGAAUCAGAAAAUAUGAAUUUGUGAAUCUAGCAAUGACAAAUUUAAGAACAAUGCUGUAGAGGAUGUUCCUAUUCAAAAACAGCUGUCUGGGCUGUGAGGAAGAUAUUGAGACCAGAACACUGAUAACAAAUACACAGGGUGUACAGGGGGACCUGAAAUGUCGAUUGAUCCAGCUACAGAAGGGUGAACUAUUCAACAUCAAUAAACUCUACAGACUCCAACUCCUUCAUACCCCCAAAGUACAAUGGAAAAGCAUAGUACUGCAGCCAAAACUACACCCAAGGUUCAAAUUCAUUGUCUGGCUAGCUUUGCGUAGAUUCAUACCCCAAAGUACAAUGGAAAAGCAUAGUACUGCAGCCAGAACUACAACCACGAUUCAAAUUCAUCGUCUGACUAGCUUUGCGUAGAAGACUGGCAACAGUGGAGCGGCUAAUGCAUUUUGGAAUACAGAUUCCGCAACAAUGUGUAUUCUGCAAGCAAGUAGAUGAAUCUUUUGACCAUCUAUUUUUUACUUGCCCGACAUCAUGGGGGGUAUGAAGUAGAUGAAUCUUUUGACCAUCUAUUUUUUACUUGCCCGACAUCAUGGGGUUAUGGAAUAGAUUACUCAUAUGGCUGGUAUACCAGAGAACUAUCUGUGAUUGGAACAGUGAAGUGGAAUGGAUAAGCAACACUGCAAAAAGGAGAAACGGACUAGCGGAAAUAACCACCAGUUUGUUCGGAAUGUUAGUAUACUGUCUCUUGCGAGAAAAGAACAAGAUUAGAUUCUAAGGCGGAAACAUAGUUAUAAAUGAUACAUGCAAAGAGAUAGCGGUUCACGUGCAUACACAGGGAACAUCUCUUAAACACUGGAAGAAUAUUUUGCGAAGACCGGAUCACUACCCCUAGAAACUAUAUUUCUUGAAAUUGAAUGUAUUUAUAGCAUAUGAUAGUGAUAUCAUAUUAGACUGAGUGGGAUAGUAGCUAGUCAGCGGCUACUGGAUAAAUCUGUAUUAUUCUGAUCUAUUGAUGAAAUAUAAAUUAAUUUAAAAAAAAUGACAAAUUUCUCAAUGCUUCUGCUGUUUAAUUUCUUCAGGAUUAUAAUGUUAUAUAUCACUUUUAAUCAAAAAAACAUACAAGAGUAGUACUAAUCUAAGCCACUUCAUCUUUGUAAAUAAACAAAUUAAAGUGAAAAUUUUGAAGAACUUUACUUACCGUUGUAGGAGAAACGUCGAAGGAGAAGCAAAGAACCCCGCAAACUGUUAUGGUAUAGUCACUUAUUUCAUUAUCAUAUAUGCCUAAAAGGCUUUCAUCAUUUGAUUGUGAGCAUUUUUCAUUUGAUUAUGGCUAUGUCGACAUUGGGACGAACAUGAACCUUCAGUACUUGAAGAACUUGUACAAACAAAACGAGGCCUUACUUGUUUAAAAACUUUACUAGGGACAACUUUACUAGGGACAGGGCCUAAUCCCAAACACCUCAUCAUUUCAGAGUGCUCUUUUCCUAGCACCUUACCAACGGCAUAAUUUGGCGAAAUUUGAGACUAAUCUAUGAUGCUUUGGCUCAAAACUAACUCAAUUUCUUCCUACACGUACAAAACUCAUUGUCACAACUAAACCAACAGGAAUGCAUUUAUCUAGUGUCAAAAUAUACAUAUCUUAAUCCACAGAUGUGGUACAACUGUGGUACUCUAUGAAAUAAAGCUGGAGCAGAUAAAAUCUUCAUUCAUCUCACAUAUUGUGACCAUAGCUCGUCUCUUGAUUACACAAGGCAAGAGUUGAACAUCUUUUAUUUGAUUAUACAAAAACAUUACUCCAUUUGACAAUGAAUUUGAGAGAGUACUUUAAAGCCGCUGAAAUAAGGUUACAAAUUUGAGAGUAAAAAGCAUUAUUUUAUUUCAAAUAUCACUCGGAAAAAGUUUUUCAAUAACAAUGAGUCUUUGCAAAUGCUCUCUUUCAAUAUACUCUCUUUAUUUGUUCCUGCAAGACUUCAAGUUUUCAACGAUAACAAAUAGUACUAUUAUCAUUGCUAUGUUGAACUCCUGUGUGCAGGGUAAAAGAUUUCUAAGAAAAUAAUUGUGAAGGAAAAUUUACCACAUUUUUGCUCAACACCAAAUCUUAUAAUCACGAUACACCCAUAUAAAUCCACAUACAAUAUAGUGUAAAAAUUUAUAUUAUUUACUAAUUCAACAAAAAAUCUCUAAUAAAUAGAGAAAAUCAAAACCUAACAUACAGUAUCCAAAAAAACAGCAAAAAUAAAAUUAAAGCCACAUGAAAUAGAAAACAUAAAAAGUUACAGAUUAUACAAACCCAAAAAUGGGGAAGAUGAAAGACCCAUUUGUAGAAAUAACAUUGCACUAAUCCAAAAAUAGGGUAGAAGAACUUAUUGUAGUUGAAGAUACUUGUCGAUUACUAUGCCCGAGUGAGUGAUUGAGAUGCCUUUGCCACAGCUAAUGGAGGAAACGCGAUGAAAAUCAAAGAAAAAAGAGGGGAAAACGAGGAAUUUAGUUCAAAUCUUACAAAUGGAAUGAAAAAUUCACACAAAACUUUCAAUUCUAAGAAAACUAAAGUAGAAAGAAUCAUGAAAUUUGAGUUAAUCUCUCAAAAUUGAGACUUUACCUUGAGUCUGUGGAAAAACGUAAGAAGUGCCGGAGCUUUUUGAGGGUUUACUAUAUUUGUAUUCUUUUCAAGAGAAAAAAAUGAAGGAAAGAAAAAUAAGCGUGGGAAAUAUUAGCGCGCUAUUUUUUUGGCAGAUGGUGUAGGUUUAGAGAAGCCGCUAUUUGCUUA